Long non-coding RNA from Columba livia (rock pigeon), 3634 nucleotides. RefSeq lists it as uncharacterized. The record is from RefSeq and is a predicted model, not a curated record. The transcript has 3 exons. NCBI's taxonomy places the organism in Eukaryota, Metazoa, Chordata, Aves, Columbiformes, Columbidae.
CUGAGUGUAUAUUAACUUGUAGUAUUCAAGAGGGAGCUUUCUUGACUAUUUAUCCACACAGACAGUGAAGGUGGCCUGCAUUGGCACAGAGCAAGUGUAGGCAGCACGUUGGUGCAACCCUUCAGAAGACCUUAGUCACGAGUUAUUGUCAGGAUUUGAUGAGAAGGGGAUGGCAGACAAUGGCCUUUCUCAUACAUUUGAGAAGCUGUAGGUAGCUGUGCCUGGAUACCAGGGUCAGCCAAAAGGACAAGCUGGAUUCAAAUGUGGUCUGCACUUCUAAAGAGUUACAAAAAUUGCAUCUAUCCAGCGCUGGAUGUACAAGACACACCGUUGCUGUGUCAGCAGUGGAUCAUGCCUUUGCUUGCCGGAAUGGACUUGCUUGCUGGCUGGGACAUGGCCAGAGGAGACACUGGUGUGGAGGCACACAUCAGCCCACAGCUCCUCACCGGGGGUUGUCCCACCUGCACCUCCUGGGAGCCUGGCUCCUGCCCAGCUGCUGCAGCUCGGUGUCAACGUGCACGCCCUGAUUAGGUGCCUAGUGGAGGCAGAACUGUCCGUGUGCCUUUAGCUUUUCCAGACUACAAAGAAAUUGAGAAACAAGUGAAGAAAAUGAACAGAAGAAGGACAUAGCACUAACAAAAAAACCUGAAUAAAAGAUAGCACGUGCUGGGGAAAACAAGGAGGGGGCAGAAAUGAAGAGGGGGAGCAGGAAGGGAAGGAAGGUGAGGUGAUGGUCUCCCCAGCACGGGCUGGGGAAGCCUGGUGGCCAGUCAGCUCUGCUUGCGCGAAGGAAACAGUCACCUGUGCUGUUGAGGCGCUUAGCAGGUGAGGAGGGAGUUAGUGUGCUCCCUCAGGGGUAAAGAUACUUUUGUAGAUGUUAAGAUUCUUUUUCCUUCUUCUGUCACAAGAAAUUGUGCCAGUUUGGGACCUUCACAGGGUCAAUUCUGAACUUUCUAGGGUUUCUGGCUGCACAGUUGCUGCUGAAUUUAGUUUUUCCCCACCCAAACUGGGCCUGUGCCCGAUGCUGGUGAGUCCUUUUCUGUGUCAGAGAGGUGGCGUUUCUGCCCUGCUGCAGCCAGACUCUGGGUUCAGGGCAUGGAGAGAACAUGGCCUUGGGGCUUCCUCUCCCCACUGUCCUGGGACAUCUCCUGGCUGGGGCUGGCUACCCCCCUGCAGUGUGCACCAGACCUGCCUGCAGGCUUUGCAGCAGAUGGGGAAAGGAGCUAGGAAGGUGGUGAGAAAGGUCUGUGUGAAUAGAUGUGGGCUUUUGCUGUGCAAACAAUCUCUGCAACAGAGCUUUUGCCAUCUGUGCUGGUCUACAGCUGAAGCUGCCAGAGGAAGGUGCUGGCAGCACCACUAUACUCCUUUGGACACGCUGUCAUUAGCGGAGUUUGCUCCCGGCACUGUCUGAAACUCCGCAGCUCCAAAACAAUAAGCCUUGUCCUCAUGGAGGAACAUUACCAACUUUCUCCAUUUUAAUUAUGCAGUCUUCUCCUUUGAGCCUCCAGCCCUGCAAGUCAUGGGAUGGAGUUGGAGUUCCAGCCUGCUGUUCAAAGAGAGGAGGAAAAGCUGUAGCCCACAUGCUGCGGGAAGAGCUGGAGAUCAGGAACUGUAACAGGCAGUGUUGAAAGGAGGAGCCCCUGUUUAUUUUGAAAAAUGGUGAGAGCUUAAAAACACCCAGGAACAUUGGGUGUCUUGGUCUUCACAGGACUGUAAUUCAAUAUGGACACAGAAGACACAAUAAUCAUUUAGGGUCAUAGCUUCCCUGGGAUGCAACAGUUCAGACACAGAGCUUUGAAACUACAGAUGAUUUGGGACUCAAAGGGAUGGCUGUAGGCAAAAUCUCAGAACAGCCUCCGAAUUGUUGUCAUCGCGCUUCCUGCAUCCUUUGUGCUGAAUCUGAAGCUUUGGUGAUACAUGAAAGAGCCACAUCCUGGCAUCGUGCAGGGAGCUCUCAUUUCAGACUGCAGGAUGCAUUUUCUGGGUGCAGAAUUUAUCAUGAUGGGAAUGCUGGACCGUGAGGGCUCACCAUGGGCCUGCCAGGAGGGUCGGCUGCACCUGGUGGGCGCUCAUCCACCAAAGCUCUGCCCAGGCACGUUGAAGAAGCACAGCAUCAGGAGAGGUCACUGCCACCUCCUUCCCCAACCUGCUGGGGACGGGCUCUGCUCCUCAGCCCAGGUGCCCACACGGGAGCAUUGCAUCACACCCCCCAUUUUCUGUCUCGCCUCUCUUUCCUCACUUCUUUCUGUGUUUCUCUCCCCUGAUGUUCCUCGGUUUCAUCAAAUCUCAGAGGGACGUUCAAUGCACAGUGCCGCAUCAGCGCCAGUGCUUUGUGGUCUGAACUGUGAGAGCUUGCUGGAAAGAUGUUGGCUUGGUUUGGCGCUGGUGCUCCCACAUUUUGCAGCUGUGAACACGUGGAGCUGCUGGCUGGGAACAUCUGCUGAGGGAAGGCGAGCAUGGCAAGCAGAGGUCCUUUCUGAGCUGCCCACCUGGGCGAUGGCAGAAUCGCCCAGCCAGCCACCCGCUCUCUCUGCAGCCCCUGGAGUGAAGCAGUGGGACACAGUUAACUGCUAGCAGGGACAUGUGAACACAUGGAAGCAUUUAUGCCCAUUCUUAAAAAAAAAACCCCGAAACCCAAAAAUUCAACUCUCAGUUCACAAAGUAAUACCAGAUUUUUCCUAUGACAGUGUUUUUAUUCAGGGCAUUUACAGUUAAAAUGCCGCUGGAAGUCAGACAGGAAAAUCAAAUUGAAGAUAACUCUAACUUAAUUAUGAAGGCAAAAAUGCUUCUUUUGAAAACGUAAACAUGUUAUUCUAUUUCCUUCUUACCAAGCCAAACUAAUGUUCCAUUAUUUAUAUAUAUAUUUAUCCUUCUCACUGUGGUUAUUUUCUGAUUGGUUAUUUUCCUGAAGUUCACUGUCACCUGGAGAGCUAUUUACCUCUCUCUAACUUUUACGCAGGUCUAUAGAGAAGUAUUCAACUACUAGGUCCUCUCCUUACUUUUGCCCUUUCAAACUGUUACUAAACAUACUCGCUUUUAAUGAUGAAAACCAAACAAAGAGAAUCUGAAACAUGGAAAUUAUCACCUAUUCUGACACGAGCUACAAAAUAUUUCUUUUGCCAUGAAUUUAAAGUAAUAUACCCUCUUACUAUUCCAGAACAUGUUAUUAAUUUGGUUGAAAGAGCUUAUUUCAUGUGCUGUUUUACAGAUCUGGCAUCUGCAUUUCAUGUAUAUGACCAUGUAACAAAACAGUCCAUAUCGUCUCAUCAUGGUAUCUCAAACACGUAUUGGACAGGGUUUGUUCAUAUUAAAAAACGGCUUCUUCAGGAUAACAGCAUAUAUCAAACUAAUAAUACGGGCACCUGACACUUCGUUCCAACUGGCAAUUUAAAUGUGGGGUUAGAUAAAUGCUACCAAAUAUGUUUCUUUUUCUUCCCACCGAUCCUUUGUGAAAAUUUAUCUGCAUAAGCAUAAAUGCUUUGAGAUAGUCUGAACUGAAAACUAUACCCAUGUUUUAGUCCAGCAAUUGCCCAGACUGUGUUUUGUACAUUGGUUUUCCCAUCAACAAGAUUUGUCCAAAUCAGUUGUUAUUAUAUAAUGUUUAGUUUAUUUCAUUAAAGCCAUUUCAUCUUAA